AUCUUUUGACGUUCCUCUGGGUUUUUGAGGAUGAUCUCCGCCUGAUCCAGUUCUGCCAUGGUUCCAAGGGGUAACCUAAUGACUGAAGUGUUUGUGCAAGCAUUUGCAAAACUUUGCUCAGUCCCAUGUCUGCAAAACACAUUUUUGUAAGAAAAUGAAUACUAGAAAAAGCAGAAACAGCAUUAAAGUGUAUGCAGACAAUGUUGAAAUGUUUCAAGUACCUCUGAGCAACUGAUGGGGCUGAGGUUGUACAUCUGGAAGACAUAUAAAACAUGUUUCAUGCCACGAGGACAACUGACCUGCAGAAGUGUGAGGGAACUCUGAGGGAAGUGUGGGGGAAUUUUGAUAGCCUGAAAGAACAACAAAUGCAAAAUUCAAUAUCGGAAGUGGGGCAGCUAGGUUCUACGGACUUUUUUAAGCAACCAAUGGCUUUCUCGUAAUGCCAUGGUCUCCUGUUACUCAGCCCCAGGCCCACCUUGCAGCAGGAAUGUCGAUGGAGCAGUUCAACGGAUUGUUCACCACAGCCUUUUCGAGUUACCACGACCACAACAACCGGCUAAGGAGUUUGGAAGAUUGCCAUUCGAUUACAGCUGUCUGGGAAUGAUCUGCAGAUCCAAAACCUGACUCUACAUCCAAGCAAGAUGGCACUGCUUUAUGUCACAGGAGGUGUCUUCAAAAAGAAAAAAAAAUACAAUGAUCACUCAAUCUACAGCAUCACACAGUAUUGACAUCAGGGGCAUGCUAUUGACUCCACAUAAUGUGCACAUUAUUUGGCCAGGUGUUUAUUUAUUAUUAUUAUUAUUGUUAUUGUUAUUAUUAAUGUCUUUUAACGCUGCAGUCACAUCCUGUGGCUGCAUUUUAUGGGAGGCAGAUCAGCCAAAAAUAAAACUGAAUUGAAAUGGCUUAAAUGAAAAUGCAAAGACAUUUUGACUUUUUUUUCCAAAAUAUAAUGACAAAAUUAAAAAUACAAUUGCUUAAUUUUCAAUUUAACAUGCCAAGUGGGAUACAAAUGAAGUGUGAUAUUUCAUAUAACCUCAAACGGUGAAUGCGAAAGUUACCUGUUCAGUGGUAAGAAGGCCACACGACUAACAACCAUGUUUUUAGGUUCCCUAAAAACUGACAAUGAGAGUAGUAAAAGGUGUUCUACAUUACAUUCAUAUGCAAAUGUACUAUACAAUAGUGCUAUGAUCAGUGUAUAGUAUAUGUGGAGCUGAGUGAUGCAGUGAGUGUAGAUCCAAAGUGGAUUUAAUGAAGUGGCUGUUUAUGUUUUUUAUAUCUGUUCACACAGGCAAAAAAAUGUCAAAGGGAUUUGCAUUUUCAUUUUAGCCAUUUUAUUUCAGUUUUAUUUUUGGCUAGAACUACCUCCCAUAGCAUGUUGGCCAAUUCUUUAGAAUCCCUCAGAAUAUAUACAGUUCAAAUAUUUUAGAGGGCUAUUAUCCUGCAUCAGAUUUCAAGACCCCACAUUGAACUGGCCCAAAUCGGAAUUGAAAAUGUCACAAACCACAAGAAAUGAUGUAUGCAUAAGGCCUGCACGAUAUUGAAAAAAAUUCAAAUCGCAUUGUUUUAGCUUUUUGCGAUAUAUAUCGUGAUAUUACACAAUGCAGGACCCGUGACGUCACCAGCCCCGCCCCCACCCGCGCGCGACCGAGAGUCAGCGUUUAGAACAGUCAGCUCAGCACUCAAAACCCGAAGAAAACAGCAAAACAACGGCAAUUAAGCAUUUAAAUGACCUUUAAAAGGCCAUGAAAAGGUAAAUAAGAGUGUUUUUCUGGGAUUAAAAGCAUGAAUUCAGCUUUAACUUGAAAUAUCUGCGCAAAACUGUGGACAGGCUGUCUGAGGCAGUUACACGGUUCAUACACUUUCCAUAGUUUCAUGACCUUACAGUCUUUAAAAUAUCAGUGCAGAAAUUAACAUUAAAACAAAAAAUCCAUGUGAAACUGAUUAUAGUAGGCCUAUAUCUUACAAUGUUUUUAAAUAAAAAAUAUACAUUUCUUUCAGCAAUGCUGACAAUCUUCAAUUAUAAAAUGUGUCAAAUCCUGAGAGCUCUAUUGUGUAUAACGGAUUUAACUCUGAGCUGAUUCCAUACACUGCUAAGCAUUUCUAUUUGUUUAACCUGUAAACUGUGGUUCAUACUUCAAAUAACAUUAUAUAGGCUAUUUAUUUUGAAACUUUGAAUACAUUUUUAAUAAUCUGGCUGUUGGCUGGGAUUUCUGAACCUGCUUCCCAAAGAAAGAGAGAAAAAGAUGGCCAUUACAGCCUAAAAUGACUUUACACUCAUAUAAAAAACAAAUUAGUAACUUCAAGUCACACAGUUAACCCGUCAGACAACAGCAGGAGAGCUGUAUACAGAUUUUUUAUUACUGAACUAUUUAACAUGUAAUAUGUUUAAUGUGUAUAUCACUUAUCAAUAAGUAUAAUGAAGCAAAAUAAACCUGCUUUUAGAGACACUCUAAAAUAUUAGUAAAUAAAACAACACUGUUGUUGUUACAGAAACUAAAACAGAGCUAGUCAUUUUCCAUCUAAUUUUAACAUUUGUUUUUAAUGUACACGAUGGAAAAUGUGGAGAGAUUGGACAGGCGAAGAUAUAUAUGUAUAUAAACCGAGCUACACUAAAUACACAUUACCCCCUCCUUCAAACACACCUCUCAUCUCUCUCUCACUCUGCACUGCAGGCAGUGGCGCGCGCAGGUCUCUUCGGUAUGUUUUGUAGAAGUUAAAUCCGGACAGUCUGUUUCACAGUUUAAAGGAAUGGUGAGAUUUCGCUGCAGCAGCUGAACUCCGGUCGGAUUUCCCGCUCCCCUCGCGCUUGCAUGUUUGUCACACUUAAAUGUUUCGGAACAUCAAACCAAUUUAAAUAUUAGUCAAAGACAACACAGGUAAACACAAUGCUAUUUUUAAAUGAAGGUGUUUAUUAUUAAGGGGGAAAAAAAUCCAAACCUACAUGGCCCUGUGUGAAAAAGUGAUUGCCCUCUAAACCUAAUAGCUGGUCGGGCCACCCUUAGAAGCAACAACUGCAACCAAGCGUUUACGAUAACUUGCAAUGAGUCUUUUACAGCUUGUGGUGGAAUGUUGGCUCCACUCAUCUUUACAGAAUUGUUGUAAUUCAGCCACAUUUUCCACCAUGUACAGCUUUUUUAAUGUCAUGCCACAGCAUCUCCAUCGUAUUCAGGUCUGAUUGACUAGGCCACUCCAAAGUCUUCAUUUUGUUUUUCUGCAGCCGUUCAGAGAUGGACUUGCCGGUGUGUUUUGGAUCAUUGUCCUGCUGCAGAACCCAAUAUCGUUUCAUCUUGAGGUCAUGAACAGAUGGUCGGACAUUCUCCUUCAGUUUCUAUUUGGUAGACAGCAGAAUUCAUAGUUCCAUUUAUCACAGCAAGUCUUCCAGGUCCUGAGGCAACAAAACAGCCCCAGACCAUCACACUACCACCACCAUAUUUUACUGUUGGUAUAAUGUUCUUUUUCUGGAAUGCAGUGUUUCUUUUACACAUACCUUCCAAAGAGUUCAACUUUUGUCUCAUCAUCCCACAGAAUGUUUUCCCAUAAGUCUUGGGGAUCAUCAAGAUGUUCUGGAAAAACUGAGACAAGCUUUAAUGUUCUAUUUGCUCAGCAGUGGUUUUCAUCUAGGAACUCUGCCAUGUAGGCCAUUUUUGCCCAGUCUCUUUCUGAUGGUGGAGGCAUGAACACUGACCUUAACUGAGGCGAGUGAGGCCUGCAGUUCUUUGGAUGUUGUUGUGGGGUCUUUUGUGAGCUCUUGGAUGAGUUGUCGCUGCGCUCUUGCAGUAAUUUUGGGGGGGGGGGCCGGCCACUCCUAGGAAGGUUCACCACUGUUCCAUGUCUUUGCCAUUUGUGGACAAUGGCUCUCACUGUGGUUCUCUGGAUUCCCAAAGCUUUGGAAAUGGCGUUAUAACCCUUUCCAGACUGACCGAUCUCAAUUACCUUUUUUCUCAGUUGUUCCUGAAUUUCUUUGUAUCUCGGCAUGACGUGUAGCUUUUAAGGAUCUUUUGGUGGACUUCACUUUGUCAGACAGGUCUUAUUUAGGUGAUGUCUUGAUUGAGAACAGGUGUGGCAAAAAUAAGGCAUGGGUGUGGCUAGAGACAGUGUACUCAGGUGUCAGAAACCACAGUGACGAUAUGUUUUAACAAGGAGGGCAAUCACUUUUUCACACAGGGCCAUGUAGGGUUAGAGUUUUUUUCCCUCAAUAAUAAACACCUUCAUUUAAAAAUAGCAUUUUGUGUUUACCUGUGUUGUCUUUGACUAGUAUUUAAAUUGGUUUGAUGUUCAGAAAUAUUUAAGUGUGAAAAACAUGCAAAAAAUCAGGAAAUCAAGAAGGGGCAAACACUUUUUCAAGUGCGGAUUUGGGACACUUCAAAGUAGUUUACAUUCUCUGCCCAACCCAAGCUCAGUAUAGCAAAGUAACAACUAAUUUUUAAUUUUUUUAUUAUUAUUAUUUAUUUAUUUUUAAGUUUUGCCAGAUAGAAUGAUCACACAGCACAGCCAUAUUGCUGUUUUUGUGUUUUUUGCACUUAGGCUGUAUGAUUAAAAUAAAGAAAAUUUAUUGUUUAGAAAGGAUGUUAUAUACUUAAACCAUCUUAAAUUAUUAGAUUAGAGGAAAGUCUUUCAGACAUUCUUGUAGCCUAAUUAAUCGAUGUUCAGGCCAGUGGAUCAUUGUUUGCAUUGUUUGUGUUUUACAGUUUUUCUCUGUCGAUUUGGUACAUUUCUCACAUCAUGAUUUACAUUGGCAUCACAAGUGCAUUUCUCAAAACAGUUAGUGCAAAGAGCAAAACUCAAUGAAAUGCCUGCAAAAGCACAUACCUCAUUCACAUUGAUAAGCGUGACACAAGCAAUGGAUAAUGCAAAAAAAACAGCUGAAAAUUGUACAUGACCAUUUGCAUGAAUGACAGACGCAUUUGCAAAAUGUGAAACACAAUGAGAAAUGCAAUUAUGAUGUGCCCAAGGGAGGAGAUGUGGAGAUUGAAUGAACAGUUUUGAGAAUUUAAAUUCUGAUCUGAGAAAUGUACCAAAUCGACUGAGAAAAACUUUCGGGGUCGGGUCGGGCUGGAUAUUUGGGCCUGAUCUAAGCGCUACUUUAAAGGCACACUGGGUAAAAGAGUUAUUUAUUGAAUCGAAUUUAUUCAAUAAUUGGCUUGUGGCCUUCCCCUGACUGUAAUUCAAGUUUACAGAACUGUCAUGAAGUCACAUUUAAGCCCCUUUCUCUCCCUGCACAAAUUUACUCAUGCAUCUCUUUGAUUGAAAGGACCGAGCCAGCACACGUGCUUACAAAUUUAGCGUUUAAUACAAACAAGCCAAAUAUGAACUCAUAGUAAAACAAAAACGCAGACCCUUGCCUGGCCUCCAUAAGAGGUUUUUGCAAUUCAGCAAAUAUAAACCAACGUGUGCACUGUGCAGGUCACUUAUGCAGCCUUUUUUUUACGAUUAUAGUGAUUUGUUACUUUGUUAUAUUGAGACAUCACGGCAUAGCUUUAUAGAAAAUAAAAUUGUGUGUUCUUGAACCAGACCCGACAGAGCCAGAGGAAAGUGGUGGAGAUCUGUUUUAGAAAGAGAGAGGCGUACUUCUCACUUACAACCAGUUUUAGUGAUUACAGUCUAUGAAAUUAGCUGUAGGUUUAGAAAAGCCGCGUUUGCCAGUGGCUUUGAAAAAAUCUUGUAGUACUUGUUGGAGCUAUAGUACCAUAAAGCAGUUCAUAGUUCUCAAAAGAAAUGCAGUUCUUGUGAGUGUUGGUUACAUCCAGCUCUUAAAGUUAAACAGUGAUUUUGAAGCUGAAAUAUUUUACUUCUUUAAAAAUUAUAAAUCAAGAAAAUCCUACCUAGUGUACCUUUUUAACCUUCUGUGUGAACAAACUGAUCCAGACUGCAUUCUUACUUUUCUCUGCCCUUGGAUUAGAGUUGCAAUGGUGUAAGUAUCUAAAGACAAUAUCCUGGGUUUCAUAGUGUUUCACAAUUACCCUAAAUAAUUAAUGACUUAUAAAUAUUGCUAAAAUGUGUAAAACAUGUUAUUUUGCAUGUUGGCACCAGAGAGGAAGGAAGUGUUUUUUAUAAUAGUAAUGUCAUAUGUGCUCAAGUAAAGUUCUUCCAGUGAAAUGUUCAAUUAAAUGAUUCAUAUUACCAUGAAGUGCUUAAAGCAUUAAAGUGUAAGAACUCAAUGCAGAAUAUUAUUCAUAUUAUGUUAACUUUAGUACAAGGGUUGGACAUUGUGGGAUGAAUAUUUAUGACUGUCAUAAUAGGUGUAUUAUUCUUAAAUAUAUUGCUUAAUUAUAUUGCUGUCUAAUGAGUUUUGUCAGAACGUUUACUUUGGUGUUGUGUGGUAAAGCCUCUGUUGCACAGCUAUGAACUGUUGUAAAAUGUUAAUUGUGGUAUAUACUCAUGCGAAGUUUUUUCAAUAACUGUAAAGAAAGUUAAAUUAAAUUACAGAAAUGAGAAUUUCCUGCUAAUGGUUCAGGCUUAAAAGGGUUAAAUAUAGUUAAUUCAGAGUAGGGUGUGUGUUUUAACUUGUAUUGAAUAUGUUCAUAAUAAAGUUUUUAUUGUGAA
Long non-coding RNA from Astyanax mexicanus (Mexican tetra), 6543 nucleotides. RefSeq lists it as uncharacterized. The transcript has 6 exons. Lineage: Eukaryota; Metazoa; Chordata; Actinopteri; Characiformes; Acestrorhamphidae. The record is from RefSeq and is a predicted model, not a curated record.